GGGAGGCAGCAGUGGGGAAUUUUGGACAAUGGGGGCAACCCUGAUCCAGCAAUGCCGCGUGAGUGAAGAAGGCCCUCGGGUUGUAAAGCUCUUUUGUCAGGGAAGAAACGGUCUGCUCUAAUACAGUGGGCUAAUGACGGUACCUGAAGAAUAAGCACCGGCUAACUACGUGCCAGCAGCCGCGGUAAUACGUAGGGUGCAAGCGUUAAUCGGAAUUACUGGGCGUAAAGCGUGCGCAGGCGGUUUUAUAAGUCUGAUGUGAAAUCCCCGGGCUCAACCUGGGAACUGCAUUGGAGACUGUAAGGCUAGAGUGUGUCAGAGGGGGGUAGAAUUCCACGUGUAGCAGUGAAAUGCGUAGAUAUGUGGAGGAAUACCGAUGGCGAAGGCAGCCCCCUGGGAUAACACUGACGCUCAUGCACGAAAGCGUGGGGAGCAAACAGGAUUAGAUACCCUGGUAGUCCACGCCCUAAACGAUGUCUACUAGUUGUCGGGUCUUAAUUGACUUGGUAACGCAGCUAACGCGUGAAGUAGA
Molecule: ribosomal RNA, 532 nt
Filed under: uncultured bacterium
Lineage: Bacteria
Description: bacterial SSU rRNA
Rfam family: Bacterial small subunit ribosomal RNA
Source: RNAcentral